RNAcentral lists this small nuclear RNA (88 nucleotides) under Cavia porcellus (domestic guinea pig). RNAcentral describes it as "U2 spliceosomal RNA". It matches the Rfam family "U2 spliceosomal RNA". Rfam says of the family: U2 is a small nuclear RNA (snRNA) component of the spliceosome (involved in pre-mRNA splicing). Lineage: Eukaryota; Metazoa; Chordata; Mammalia; Rodentia; Caviidae. The record is from Rfam by way of RNAcentral.
AUUGCUUCUCGGCCUUUUGGCUAAGAUCAAGUGUAGUAUCUGUUCUUAUCAGUACAGUGUUUUUAAAAAGAAAAAGCCUUGACUCUAC